AUUGAACGCUGGCGGCAGGCCUAACACAUGCAAGUCGAACGAGCGGCGGACGGGUGAGUAAUGUAUGGGAAACUGCCCGAUGGAGGGGGAUAACUACUGGAAACGGUAGCUAAUACCGCAUACCAUCGGAUGUGCCCAGAUGGGAUUAGCUAGUAGGUGGGGUAAUGGCUCACCUAGGCGACGAUCCCUAGCUGGGCUGAGAGGAUGACCAGCAACACUGGAACUGGAACACGGUCCAGACGCCUACGGGAGGCAGCAGUGGGGAAUAUUGCACAAUGGGCGCAAGCCUGAGCGAGCCAUGCGGCGUGUAUGAAGAAGGCCUUCGGGUUGUAAAGUACUUUCAGCGGGGAGGCGUUACUCGCAGAAGAAGCACCGGCUAACUCCGUGCCAGCCGCCGCGGUAAUAC
Molecule: ribosomal RNA, 406 nt
Filed under: uncultured bacterium
Lineage: Bacteria
Description: partial 16S ribosomal RNA
Rfam family: Bacterial small subunit ribosomal RNA
Source: RNAcentral